CCAGACUCCUACGGGAGGCAGCAGUGGGGGAUAUUGCACAAUGGGGGAAACCCUGAUGCAGCGACGCCGCGUGUGGGAAGACGGUCCUCUGGAUUGUAAACCACUGUCCCCAGGGACGAAGAUGACGGUACCUGGGGAGGAAGCUCCGGCUAACUACGUGCCAGCAGCCGCGGUAAUACGUAGGGAGCAAGCGUUGUCCGGAAUUACUGGGUGUAAAGGGAGCGUAGGCGGGAUGGCAAGUUGGGUGUUAAAUCUACCGGCUCAACUGGUAGUCGCACUCAAAACUGCUAUUCUUGAGUGAAGUAGAGGCAGGCGGAAUUCCUAGUGUAGCGGUGAAAUCCGUAGAUAUCUGGAGGAACAUCAGUGGCGAAGGCGACUAUCUGGCACAUAACUGACGCUGAGGAGCGAAAGCGUGGGUAGCAAACAGGAUUAGAUACCCCUGUAC
This 445-nucleotide ribosomal RNA is filed under the name uncultured bacterium. Its description in RNAcentral is "bacterial SSU rRNA". It matches the Rfam family "Bacterial small subunit ribosomal RNA", at positions 331 to 793 of the family's 1533-position model. The record is from RNAcentral.